AUUGAGCACUUACCCUGUGCCUAUCUCCAGGCUGAAUUAAUUAGAAGAUAGUUUCUUUAAAAGUUAUAAAGCAGAAAAUGCAUGCACUACUAUUAUCUGAUGAGGAAACUGAGAUUUCUCUCCCCCUCCUUAGAAACCAGAAGACUUAAAUACAUUCCCGAGAGACUCUCAUGAAGACUGAACUAAAAUGCUCCCUAACUGCUGAUACCUUAUGGGAAUUCCAGGGAAGCAGAUGAAGAAAGGCCCACAGUGUCUCUCCCCUCCACAUGGCUGGACGAAACUGCAGUGGCACUCAGCAUCAGGUGGCCUGUGGUGUCUCCAAUCAAAGCCCAGGCUUGCUGUGUUGAUCAUCCCUGGCUCACGAAGUCUCAUUCUGUGCAUGUUUUUGCACCAAUGGGAAAUCUACACUGAGAAUGCUGUCAACCCCCUUUUGUGGAGCACCCCCUCU
RNAcentral lists this long non-coding RNA (448 nucleotides) under Callithrix jacchus (white-tufted-ear marmoset). Its description in RNAcentral is "lncRNA (ENSCJAG00000077768.1)". The record is from RNAcentral. Lineage: Eukaryota; Metazoa; Chordata; Mammalia; Primates; Cebidae.